GAGGCUGCUAAGACUGCAGCAAAAAGCAUUAUGGAUAUGCAGAAUGUGGUUGAGGAGGACUCAGAAUCUUCGAAGGAGGAUGAUAUGGAAGGAUCUGCAAUUUAAGGAGAAAGUGAAGAUGAGAAUGAUAAACGGCGUAAGGCUGCUUUGGAUAAAUUGGAGAAGGCUAGUGAAGAUACAAUCCUAGGCCAAGCAUGUCACAAAUAUGAAAAUUUAAAUAAAUUGUAUCUUGGGUUUGUCUUUUCUUGGAUUUCAAAGGUGCAUAAUUUCCUUAUUCAUACCCUCCAUAUUUGUUUACAGAGGUCAUUUGUCCUUUAAAUUCUCUCUCCCUAAACUUGUGUUGGUCUCAUCAAUCCAUGAUUAUGGGAGGAUGGACUGUGUAUUGAUUUAGGCUUUACUUUUUUUUUUGCCUGUCCUCAGAUUUCUAUCUCAUUCUUUUUCUGAGUUAAAAAUUAAAAUGGGCCACUAGUUCUACCUCUGAUUGGGAAUUGUGAUUGGGAAUUGUUUGGGAAUAUGCUAUUUUAGUAACUUUUUGACUUUUUAUGAAAAGAUGUGCAGAAAAAGUAGAGAUGUGAUGUGACCCAAAAAAUAUAAAAAGACAAAAAGUAUGCUAUUUUAGUAGCAUCUCAAAUUUUGUGAAUUUUUAAUAAGAUUUCACUUUGUUAUUUCUUUAUGUACCCUUUUCUUAUUGCAGGUUGAGGAGUACCAAGGUGUAUACAAGGCAUCAGAGUAGGUGCUGCUUAUUAUGGUCUUAGGUCUGUUGUGGAGCUUAUGACGUUUAAUUUUUCAAUGCAAUUGACCACAUCAUUAAUUCUGCUACAAAAUCAAAUUACAUGUCUGCUAGCCAGAUAAAUGUACCUAUUGUUUUUAGAGGACCAAAUGGUGCUGCUGUUGGUGUAGGUGCCCAACACUCCCAGUGUUUCGUAGCAUGGUAUGGCGCUUGCCCUGGUUUGAAAGUACUGGCCCCAUACUCAUCUGAAGAUGCUCGUGGACUGUUACCCUGAUCCUGUUGUUUUUCUAGAAAAUGAGUUGUUGUGAGUACUCAAUGCAAUAUUAAGUUGUAACAUAUCAACCUUAUCCAUAUAGAUCAUUAUUAUUAUCCAAUGUGAUUUUUGCGCUUCAGAUAUGGGGUGAGUCUUUCCUUAUUUCGGCAGAAGUUCUUGAUUCUAGUUUUUGCCUCCUAAUAGGGAAAGCUAAGGUUGAGAGAGAAGGAAAGGAUGUCACGAUUACCACUUUUUCAUGGAUGGUGGGCUAUGCCAUUAAGGUUUGUCUAUGAAACUUUAUAUACCUUUUGAGAUGUGAUCUUUGUCAUUUAGAUAUAUGACCUAACGCUGCUUGUUCCAUGGGAGGACAAUGCUUUUGCACAAGAAGUGAUCUUAAGUUGAGAAAAUGAAGCUAUAGUUUGAACUUGAAAAAUUUCAGGAGCAUCUCUGUAUUUGGUAUAGUAUGCUAACUAGUAAUUAGCCUACAUUCUACAAGGUAUAGCGGUUUUGACUGUCACUACCUCACGGAAUACAGAGUUUUGAGGCUUGAAUUAGUCUCUAUGAUAUUGUGACAUUGCUUUUAGCUUUGUGGAUGAAAUUGCUUUGAACUGUAGCUAAGCAUUCUCAUAUAAUGUUGCUGUAGUUGCUCAGUAAACACUUUUGUAUUCAUCUUCGAUGAGAACAUUAGUGAUCUCUGUUGUUUGUUGACAUUGCAUAUCUUUCAAAUUCUCGUUCAUAUUGCCUUUGGUUACAGUUAGUCAAUUUUUUGCCCUCGUUUUAAAUGUAACUAUGUUGUGUGAUGUUCAGGUAGCUGAGAUUCUUGCGAAGGAAGGGAUCAGUGCUGAGGUUAUAAAUCUUCACUCAAUUAGGCUAGUAGAUAGGGCCACAACCAAUGCUUCAGUUCGGAAAACAAGUAGACUAGUGAUAGUUGAAGAAGGGUUCCCUCAACAUGGUGUUGGUGCUGAAAUCUGAGUGGAAAAGCUUUUACUACAAAGGGAAUGCAAGUGCUUGAGCUUGUAGGCAAGGAGACCAUGGAUCUUUUGAUUACAGAAACUGGUAUUGAAGUUGACAAGAAGGGAGCUCAAGCACAAGAUGAUGAGGAUCAAUUGUUUGAGUGACAUUUGAUAGAUGCUUUUACAUAUACGGAGGAAUUGGAGUCUUUGUUCAACCAUUAUGUUUUGUUAUUUAACUAAAGACAAGCAAAGCAAUUAUCUGAAUAGAAGUCUUUUUAUGACGGAAAGCUAAAACAAGUGCAACAAAUUUUCAGCUCAAGUUCUGAAAUUGAUGGAAGUGCCACAACAUUAGAAAAAGGAAAGAAAAUAGAGACUGGAGCUGAGGGGAGUGCUAAUGAGAUGAAGAAUCUACACGACUCAAGUGUCAAAAAGGCUGUUGAAAUGGCUGCAGGCACUUCGUGAGGAGCAAAAAAGAGAUCAUGAGGAGUUGAUGAGAGAGCGAGAAGAGCGUGAGAAAUAUUACAAUGAGAUGUUGAAAGAGCAAGAGGAGCGCGAGAGAUGUUGCUACAAAGGGGCGCAUGGACAGAAAGAUCAGUAGGAGAUAAAUAAAAGGGUUGAUCAUCUGAAUAAUGUAGUCGCCAAACUCACACAACUCUUGGGGAUUUGAGUUGGUCGACUGACGUUUACUGUUUGAUGGUUUUUAGCGUGGAAUCGUGGAUAUGACUUUUUUUGGCAAGUACGAAAGAAAUUGUUUUAGUCUACGAAUUAGUAUUGUUCGUACACAUUAGUUUUAUGGCAUGGUACAAUUUAGCUUUUGACGUGGUACAGAUAAUUUUUGAUGCAGUAUAGAUUACUUUUUGACGUGGUACAAAUUACUUUUUUGGCAUGGUACAGAUUACCUUUUAGCGUGGUACAAAUUAGUUUUUGGUGGUACUGAUUAACUUUUGGAUAUUAAUUUUGUUUAAUCCUCUGUUAUGUAUGGAAUUGUAUUUUUGAUGUUGGAUUAUACUUGGUUUAUAUGGAAUUUCUAUUGCAUUUGUAA
Camellia sinensis is the source of this 2978-nucleotide non-coding RNA. NCBI's taxonomy places the organism in Eukaryota, Viridiplantae, Streptophyta, Magnoliopsida, Ericales, Theaceae. The record is from RefSeq and is a predicted model, not a curated record.